GACGAACGCUGGCGGCGUGCUUAACACAUGCAAGUCGAACGAUGAAGCAAAGAAUUGAAGCUUCGGCAGAAAUUCAUUUCGGAUUAGUGGCAGACGGGUGAGUAACGCGUGAGCAACCUACCUCUUACAAAGGGAUAGCCUCGGGAAACCGGGAUUAAUACCAUAUAACAUUGCGACGAAGCAUUUCGAUGCAAUCAAAGCUACGGCGGUAAGAGAUGGGCUCGCGUCCCAUUAACCAGAUGGUGAGGUAACGGCUCACCAUAGUAACGAUGGGUAACCGGCCUGGGAGGGGGAACGGUCACACUGGAACUGAGACACGGUCCAGACUCCUACGGGAGGCAGCAGUGGGGAAUAUUGCACAAUGGAGGGAACUCUGAUGCAGCGACGCCGCGUGAGUGAUGAAGGAAUUCGUUUCGUAAAACUCUGUUCUAUGGGAAGAAAAGGACUGUACCAUAGGAGAAAGCUCCGGCUAAAUACGUG
RNAcentral lists this ribosomal RNA (480 nucleotides) under uncultured bacterium. Its description in RNAcentral is "partial 16S ribosomal RNA". It matches the Rfam family "Bacterial small subunit ribosomal RNA", at positions 28 to 507 of the family's 1533-position model. The record is from RNAcentral.